GGAAGGAUCAUUAUCGUACAGAAUGUGAGAGGCAUGCGAGCGCUGUCGCUGACCCAAAAGUCGUGCACGCCCGAGUGUGUUCUCUCACAUGAUCAAUCCAUCUCACCCUUUUGUGCAUCACCGCGUGGGCACCCUUCGGGAUCGUCUCGGAGGGGGCUCGCGUUUUCACACAAAACCCCCCUUUUAAAAAAAGUGUAGAAUGACCUCAUUUAUGCGCUAACCCGCAAUCAAUACAACUUUCAACAACGGAUCUCUUGGCUCUCGCAUCGAUGAAGAACGCAGCGAAAUGCGAUACGUAAUGUGAAUUGCAGAAUUCAGUGAAUCAUCGAAUCUUUGAACGCACCUUGCGCCCCUUGGUAUUCCGAGGGGCACACCCGUUUGAGUGUCGUGAAAACCUCAACCUCCUUGGUUUCUUCUGGAGACCAAAGCAGGCUUGGACUUUGGAGGCCCUUUGCUGGCACCUCUCUUUUGAAGGCCAGCUCCUCUUAAAUGAAUUAGCAGGGUCCUCUUUGCUGAUCCUCGACGUGUGAUAAGAUGUUUCCAUGUCUUGGUUUCUGGCUCUGUCACCUUUGGGACCCGCUUCUAACCGUCUUGACCUUGCAUCGAGACAACGUUCGAGCAUGUCUCCCUUUCUCGGGAAGCUCCCUCGACCCCACGAACCCCUUGACCUCAAAUCGGGUGAGACUACCCGCUGAACUUAAGCAUAUCAAUAAGCGGAGGAAAAGAAACUAACAAGGAUUCCCCUAGUAACUGCGAGUGAAGCGGGAAAAGCUCAAAUUUAAAAUCUGGUGGUCUUUGGCCGUCCGAGUUGUAAUUUAGAGAAGCGUCUUCCGCGCUGGACCGUGCACAAGUCUCCUGGAAUGGAGCGUCAUAGAGGGUGAGAAUCCCGUCUUUGGCACGGAUGCCCGGUGCUUUUGUGAUGCGCUCUCGAAG
RNAcentral lists this small RNA (933 nucleotides) under uncultured fungus. RNAcentral describes it as "eukaryotic LSU rRNA". The stretch from base 665 to 933 matches the Rfam family "Eukaryotic large subunit ribosomal RNA", at positions 1 to 262 of the family's 3401-position model. Lineage: Eukaryota; Fungi. The record is from RNAcentral.